UCCUGGCUCAGGAUAAACGCUGGCGGCGUGCUUAACACAUGCAAGUCGAACGGAGUAUCCUCCCGCAGAUUUAGAAGCUUGCUUCUGAAUGAAGCAUUGGAAUACUUAGUGGCGGACGGGUGAGUAACGCGUGGGUAACCUGCCUCACACAGGGGGAUAACAGUUGGAAACGACUGUUAAUACCGCAUAAGCGCACAGUACCGCAUGGUACAGUGUGAAAAAACUCCGGUGGUGUGAGAUGGACCCGCGUCUGAUUAGCUAGUUGGUGAGGUAACGGCCCACCAAGGCGACGAUCAGUAGCCGGCCUGAGAGGGUGUACGGCCACAUUGGGACUGAGACACGGCCCAAACUCCUACGGGAGGCAGCAGUGGGGAAUAUUGCACAAUGGGGGAAACCCUGAUGCAGCCGACGCCGCGUGAGUGAUGAAGUUAUUUCGGUAUGUAAAGCUCUAUCAGCAGGGAAGAUAAUGACGGUACCUGACUAAGAAGCACCGGCUAAAUACGUGCCAGCCGCCGC
RNAcentral lists this ribosomal RNA (516 nucleotides) under uncultured bacterium. Its description in RNAcentral is "bacterial SSU rRNA". It matches the Rfam family "Bacterial small subunit ribosomal RNA", at positions 17 to 518 of the family's 1533-position model. The record is from RNAcentral.